UACGUAGGGUGCGAGCGUUGUCCGGAAUUAUUGGGCGUAAAGCGCUCGUAGGCGGCCUGUCGCGUCGGAUGUGAAAGCCCGGGGCUUAACCCCGGGUCUGCAUUCGAUACGGGCAGGCUAGAGUUCGGUAGGGGAGAUCGGAAUUCCUGGUGUAGCGGUGAAAUGCGCAGAUAUCAGGAGGAACACCGGUGGCGAAGGCGGAUCUCUGGGCCGAUACUGACGCUGAGGAGCGAAAGCGUGGGGAGCGAACAGG
Molecule: ribosomal RNA, 253 nt
Filed under: uncultured bacterium
Lineage: Bacteria
Description: partial 16S ribosomal RNA
Rfam family: Bacterial small subunit ribosomal RNA
Source: RNAcentral